UAAAUGAAUUGAAGACUUCUCCUUCUCGUUCUUAUCAACUGAAAAAAAACUUUCCCCAAACACCAUUUCUUCUAAUGUAUUAAGGUAUUAUUCUACUUAAACCAGUUCUUGCUGUAUUCAACACUUUCAUAGUUCAUACUCUUUCACUUAGCCAAGCUUAGAUAUGCGAUUGCUUUGAAUGCAACUUGUAAAUCUGAAAUCAAUUAUAGAUUGUGAUUAACUUCAAUGCAAAGUUCUAGCUUGUACAGAUCUAAUCCUGUUCGGUCAAAUUUUAGCUCAAUUCUAAAGAUCUUCUGCUACUUCCGUUUAUCCAUGGAUUUAAGGUAUGGUAGCAAAAUGGAUCAAAUGCAAAAGUCGCAAUGUCAGUGGGCACAAAUUUGUAUUUGUUAACAAGAAGACAUAAAUUUUAUAUUGAUAAGAAGAGUAUUUUGAGCACAAUUUGUAUUUUGCACUGAUAUUGACAAGAAGAGUAUUUUGUGAGCACAAUUAUGUAUUUCAUAUUGAUAUCGAUGAAUAACUUCUAAAGGUUCAGUUUUUAA
This is a long non-coding RNA of Nicotiana attenuata, 539 nucleotides long. RefSeq lists it as uncharacterized. The record is from RefSeq and is a predicted model, not a curated record. The transcript has 2 exons. Lineage: Eukaryota; Viridiplantae; Streptophyta; Magnoliopsida; Solanales; Solanaceae.